AUGGCUCGUACUAAGCAGACUGCUCGUAAGUCCACUGGAGGAAAGGCUCCUAGGAAGCAGCUAGCCACCAAGGCUGCCCGUAAGUCUGCUCCCACAACUGGAGGAGUGAAGAAGCCUCACCAUUACCGCCCUGGAACUGUUGCUCUUCGUGAGAUCCGCAAGUACCAGAAGAGCACGGAGCUGCUCAUCAGGAAGCUUCCAUUCCAGAGGCUUGUUAGGGAGAUUGCCCAGGACUUCAAGGUGAUCAAUCAACUUGUGCACUACAUUGUGAUGCUCCUGUUGUGUCAACUCUUAUAG
RNAcentral lists this ribosomal RNA (297 nucleotides) under Triticum aestivum (bread wheat). Its description in RNAcentral is "partial small subunit ribosomal RNA". The record is from RNAcentral. Lineage: Eukaryota; Viridiplantae; Streptophyta; Magnoliopsida; Poales; Poaceae.